RNAcentral lists this ribosomal RNA (465 nucleotides) under uncultured bacterium. RNAcentral describes it as "partial 16S ribosomal RNA". It matches the Rfam family "Bacterial small subunit ribosomal RNA", at positions 28 to 507 of the family's 1533-position model. The record is from RNAcentral.
GACGAACGCUGGCGGCGUGCUUAACACAUGCAAGUCGAACGGAAAGGACCCUUUGGGGCUCCUCGAGUGGCGAACGGGUGCGUAACACGUAAGUAACCGGCCCUUGACUUCGGGAUAACUUUAGGAAACUGGGGCCAAUGCCGGAAAGGAAUCCUUGCUGCAUGGUGGGGGUUGGAAAGCUUCGGCGGUUUUGGAUGGACUCGCGGCUUAUCAGCUUGUUGGUGGGGUAGUGGCUUACCGAGGCUUUGACGGGUAGCCGGCCUGAGAGGGCGACCGGCCACAUUGGGACUGAGAUACGGCCCAGACGCCUACGGGAGGCAGCAGUGGAGAAUAUUGCACAAUGGGCGGAAGCCUGAUGCAGCAACGCUGCGUGCGGGAUGACGGGCUUCGGGUUGUAAACCGGUUUCAGCAGGGGAGAGGCGUGUGGUGACGGUACCUGCAGAAGAAGCACCGGCUAACUACGUG